AUUGGACGCUGGCGGCAGGCCUAACACAUGCAAGUCGAACGGCAGCGGGGGAUAGCUUGCUAUCCUGCCGGCGAGUGGCGGACGGGUGAGUAAUGCAUGGGGAGCUGCCCAAUCGAGGGGGAUAACAACUGGAAACGGUUGCUAAUACCGCAUACGCCCUGCGGGGGAAAGGUGGGGACCUUCGGGCCUACCGCGAUUGGAUGCACCCAUGUGGGAUUAGCUAGUUGGUGAGGUAACGGCUCACCAAGGCGACGAUCUCUAGCUGGGCUGAGAGGAUGACCAGCCACACUGGAACUGGGACACGGUCCGGACUCCUACGGGAGGCAGCAGUGGGGAAUAUUGCACAAUGGGGGAAACCCUGAUGCAGCCAUGCCGCGUGUGUGAAGAAGGCCUUCGGGUUGUAAAGCACUUUCAGUCAGGAGGAAGGGUUGAUAGCUACAUCUAUCAGCAUUGACGUUACUGACAGAAGAAGCACCGGCUAACUCCGUGCCAGCCGCCGCGGUAA
RNAcentral lists this ribosomal RNA (505 nucleotides) under uncultured bacterium. RNAcentral's name for it is "partial 16S ribosomal RNA". It matches the Rfam family "Bacterial small subunit ribosomal RNA", at positions 29 to 523 of the family's 1533-position model. The record is from RNAcentral.